CCUACGGGAGGCAGCAGUGAGGAAUAUUGGUCAAUGGGCGCGAGCCUGAACCAGCCAAGUCGCGUGAGGGAAGACGGUCCUAUGGAUUGUAAACCUCUUUUGUCGGGGAGCAAAAGACGCCACGCGUUGCGUUCCGAGAGUACCCGAAGAACAAGCAUCGCCUAACUCCGUGCCAGCAGCCGCGGUAUUACGGGGGAUGCGGGCGUUAUCGGGAUUUAGUGGGUUUAAAGGGUGCGCAGGCGGAAGAUCAAGUCGACGGUAAAAUUGAGAGGCUCAACCUCUUCGAGCCGUUGAAACUGGGUUUCUUGAGUGAGCGAGAAGUAUGCGGAAUGCGUGGUGUAGCGGUGAAAUGCAUAGAUAUCACGCAGAACUCCGAUUGCGAAGGCAGCAUACCGGCGCUCAACUGACGCUCAUGCACGAAAGUGUGGGUAUCGAACAGGAUUAGAUACCCUAGUAGUC
Molecule: ribosomal RNA, 459 nt
Filed under: uncultured bacterium
Lineage: Bacteria
Description: partial 16S ribosomal RNA
Rfam family: Bacterial small subunit ribosomal RNA
Source: RNAcentral